GGCUAUAUGAUUGUCACCUGCUAAAAUUGGAACGAUACUGAGAAUAUUAGCAUGGCCCCAGCACAAGAUUGACACGCUUAAUUUGAGAAAUGGUCCAAUUUUUU
Molecule: small nuclear RNA, 104 nt
Organism: Arabis alpina (gray rockcress)
Lineage: Eukaryota; Viridiplantae; Streptophyta; Magnoliopsida; Brassicales; Brassicaceae
Source: Rfam